Molecule: ribosomal RNA, 465 nt
Filed under: Vreelandella stevensii
Lineage: Bacteria; Pseudomonadati; Pseudomonadota; Gammaproteobacteria; Oceanospirillales; Halomonadaceae
Description: partial 16S ribosomal RNA
Rfam family: Bacterial small subunit ribosomal RNA
Source: RNAcentral
CCUACGGGGGGCUGCAGGGGGGAAUAUUGGACAAUGGGGGGAACCCUGAUCCAGCCAUGCCGCGUGUGUGAAGAAGGCCCUCGGGUUGUAAAGCACUUUCAGUGAGGAAGAACGCCUGGUGGUUAAUACCCAUCAGGAAAGACAUCACUCACAGAAGAAGCACCGGCUAACUCCGUGCCAGCAGCCGCGGUAAUACGGAGGGUGCGAGCGUUAAUCGGAAUUACUGGGCGUAAAGCGCGCGUAGGUGGCUUGAUAAGCCGGUUGUGAAAGCCCCGGGCUCAACCUGGGAACGGCAUCCGGAACUGUCAAGCUAGAGUGCAGGAGAGGAAGGUAGAAUUCCCGGUGUAGCGGUGAAAUGCGUAGAGAUCGGGAGGAAUACCAGUGGCGAAGGUGGCCUUCUGGACUGACACUGACACUGAGGUGCGAAAGCGUGGGUAGCAAACAGGAUUAGAUACCCUAGUAGUC